RNAcentral lists this unclassified non-coding RNA (390 nucleotides) under soil metagenome. RNAcentral describes it as "partial contains 5.8S ribosomal RNA, internal transcribed spacer 2, and large subunit ribosomal RNA". The stretch from base 1 to 122 matches the Rfam family "5.8S ribosomal RNA", at positions 35 to 154 of the family's 154-position model. The record is from RNAcentral.
GAUGAAGAACGUAGUGAAAUGCGAUACUUGGUGUGAAUUGCAGAAUCCCGUGAACCAUCGAGUCUUUGAACGCAAGUUGCGCCCGAAGCCAUUAGGCCGAGGGCACGCCUGCCUGGGCGUCACACGUCGUUGCCCCCCCAUCUACUCCUUCGGGAUUGCGGGGGGCAGAUGAUGGCCUCCCGUGCGCCUCGUCGCGCGGUUGGCAUAAAUGCCAAGUCCUCGGCGACGCACGCCACGACAAUCGGUGGUUGCGAAACCUCGGUUGCCCGUCGUGUGCGGUCGUCGCGCAUCGAGGGCUCGAAAAAAUUGCCGGGCUCCGGCUCGGCUUUCAACGCGACCCCAGGUCAGGCGGGGUUACCCGCUGAAUUUAAGCAUAUCAAAAGCGGAGGA